Molecule: ribosomal RNA, 575 nt
Filed under: Fusarium proliferatum
Lineage: Eukaryota; Fungi; Ascomycota; Sordariomycetes; Hypocreales; Nectriaceae
Description: eukaryotic LSU rRNA
Rfam family: 5.8S ribosomal RNA (bases 206-359)
Source: RNAcentral
UUGGAAGUAAAAAGUCGUAACAAGGUCUCCGUUGGUGAACCAGCGGAGGGAUCAUUACCGAGUUUACAACUCCCAAACCCCUGUGAACAUACCAAUUGUUGCCUCGGCGGAUCAGCCCGCUCCCGGUAAAACGGGACGGCCCGCCAGAGGACCCCUAAACUCUGUUUCUAUAUGUAACUUCUGAGUAAAACCAUAAAUAAAUCAAAACUUUCAACAACGGAUCUCUUGGUUCUGGCAUCGAUGAAGAACGCAGCAAAAUGCGAUAAGUAAUGUGAAUUGCAGAAUUCAGUGAAUCAUCGAAUCUUUGAACGCACAUUGCGCCCGCCAGUAUUCUGGCGGGCAUGCCUGUUCGAGCGUCAUUUCAACCCUCAAGCCCAGCUUGGUGUUGGGACUCGCGAGUCAAAUCGCGUUCCCCAAAUUGAUUGGCGGUCACGUCGAGCUUCCAUAGCGUAGUAGUAAAACCCUCGUUACUGGUAAUCGUCGCGGCCACGCCGUUAAACCCCAACUUCUGAAUGUUGACCUCGGAUCAGGUAGGAAUACCCGCUGAACUUAAGCAUAUCAAUAGNCCGGAGGAA